RNAcentral lists this ribosomal RNA (276 nucleotides) under uncultured bacterium. Its description in RNAcentral is "partial 16S ribosomal RNA". It matches the Rfam family "Bacterial small subunit ribosomal RNA", at positions 773 to 1046 of the family's 1533-position model. The record is from RNAcentral.
GUGGAUUAGAUACCCGGGUAGUCCACGCCGUAAACGAUGAUGACUAGCUGUCGGGGCUCUUGGAGUUUCGGUGGCGCAGCUAACGCGUUAAGUCAUCCGCCUGGGGAGUACGGCCGCAAGGUUAAAACUCAAAGAAAUUGACGGGGGCCUGCACAAGCGGUGGAGCAUGUGGUUUAAUUCGAAGCAACGCGCAGAACCUUACCAGCGUUUGACAUGGUAGGACGGUUUCCAGAGAUGGAUUCCUUCCCUUACGGGACCUACACACAGGUGCUGCAC